This is a regulatory RNA element of Mycobacterium marinum M, 72 nucleotides long. It matches the Rfam family "hya RNA". Lineage: Bacteria; Bacillati; Actinomycetota; Actinomycetes; Mycobacteriales; Mycobacteriaceae. The record is from Rfam.
AACGCUGCGCAAGUGGGCCGAAGGUCGACUCCGGCAGCGUGAGGGGCUUCAGCCCGCCCCGGAAAGCUGCAG